GUUUCUGUGGCCUAGUGGUUAGGGCGUCUGUCUUACAGCAGUGGUGGAUCGUAUUGGGAAAGUCCCUUCAUUUGAUCUUGCCAACAGCGGCAUCACAGAAGAUCGCCGGUUCAAUCCCGGCCAGGAACA
This 129-nucleotide transfer RNA is filed under the name Xylaria sp. FL0043. RNAcentral describes it as "tRNA-Val". It matches the Rfam family "tRNA". From Rfam's summary of the family: Transfer RNA (tRNA) molecules are approximately 80 nucleotides in length. Their secondary structure includes four short double-helical elements and three loops (D, anti-codon, and T loops). The record is from RNAcentral. Lineage: Eukaryota; Fungi; Ascomycota; Sordariomycetes; Xylariales; Xylariaceae.